CAGUCCCUACCUAGGGCCAGGCAUGCUGGUUCAGGGAAGCUGUCUACCCAGGCUCUCUGGCCCUCCCUCCUCCCCUGCCCUUCUCUUUCUUUUCUCCUGGUCCUCACCAUCAGUCUCUGUCACAGAGAAACUACAGAAAGGCUUCCCUCUCCCGACGCCGGCCAGAGUCCAGCUCUACAAUGUAGUGCUUCAGCCUCACCAGAACUUCCUGCUGUUCGGUGCAGAUGUUGUCUAUAAAUGAAGGCACCAGGGGUGCCGGGGGCUGUCAGCCACACCUGUUCCUGAUGGGCUGUGGGGCACGGGCUGCCUUUCCCCAGG
Molecule: small RNA, 318 nt
Filed under: Pongo abelii (Sumatran orangutan)
Lineage: Eukaryota; Metazoa; Chordata; Mammalia; Primates; Hominidae
Description: processed transcript
Source: RNAcentral